Long non-coding RNA from Peromyscus eremicus (cactus mouse), 606 nucleotides. RefSeq lists it as uncharacterized. The record is from RefSeq and is a predicted model, not a curated record. NCBI's taxonomy places the organism in Eukaryota, Metazoa, Chordata, Mammalia, Rodentia, Cricetidae. The transcript is spliced from 3 exons.
GAAAAGGAAAAGGAAAAGGAAAAGGAUGGAGGCAGCAGAGAAGAUAAGCCAGGACCUCAGGGAACCAGGAGAGAGAGGAAAGACACCAGGAAGUCACAGAAGGCUGUAGGACUUCUGGCUUCGAAUCAUCCCCAGUGUCCUCACAUUCCAGACCAGGCUGAGUAGCAGCUGUUACUGAGAGCUGUUGUUCUCCCGGUACAAGGCAGCAACCUGCCAAGGGAGCCAGAGCCAAGCCACCCCUUCAAAGUGUCGGCACGGCUGUGUCAUGCCCGAGCUCUCAACCACCGUCUGGGCACAUACAGUGAGGCAAGCCAGAGUCAAUAAACAUUGUUGGAGCUGUGACCACAGAGGUGAUUGCAGAAUCAUAGCCCUCCUGAAGCGAUAUCCAAGCAGAGAACUUUCCAAUACAUAUCCUGAAAUCACAGAGCAUGCAGUUCCACCCGAGCUCCAGGAAGGCAGCAUCUUUGCUUAGGAUAUGGAAAUUUGGAAGCUUGUUGCUAUAAUCUGUGGUUAUGACUUCAAGCUCCCCCAAUGAUGUCGGGAAGCAGACCGCAGGCUCCCAGGGCUAGGAGCCUUUAUUGUAAUCCAAUAAAGCCUUAACAACCA